UACGUAGGGGGCAAGCGUUGUCCGGAAUCACUGGGCUUAAAGGGCGCGUAGGCGGGCAUUCAAGUCAGGGGUGAAAUCCUGGAGCUCAACUCCAGAACUGCCUUUGAUACUGGCGACCUUGAGUCCGGGAGAGGUGAGUGGAACUGCGAGUGUAGAGGUGAAAUGCGUAGAUAUUGGGAGGAACACCAGUGGCGAAGGCGGCUCACUGGACCGGAACUGACGCUGAGGCGCGAAAGCGUGGGGAGCAAACAGG
Molecule: ribosomal RNA, 253 nt
Filed under: uncultured bacterium
Lineage: Bacteria
Description: partial 16S ribosomal RNA
Rfam family: Bacterial small subunit ribosomal RNA
Source: RNAcentral